RNAcentral lists this ribosomal RNA (160 nucleotides) under Carnobacterium sp. FBT1-19. RNAcentral's name for it is "partial 16S ribosomal RNA". It matches the Rfam family "Bacterial small subunit ribosomal RNA", at positions 344 to 496 of the family's 1533-position model. The record is from RNAcentral. RNAcentral also lists the same sequence under 1 other name. Lineage: Bacteria; Bacillati; Bacillota; Bacilli; Lactobacillales; Carnobacteriaceae.
GGAGGCAGCAGUAGGGAAUCUUCCGCAAUGGACGAAAGUCUGACGGAGCAACGCCGCGUGAGUGAAGAAGGUUUUCGGAUCGUAAAACUCUGUUGUUAAAGAAGAACAAGGAUGAGAGUAACUGCUCAUCCCCUGACGGUAUUUAACCAGAAAGCCACGG